Molecule: long non-coding RNA, 1567 nt
Filed under: Carica papaya (papaya)
Lineage: Eukaryota; Viridiplantae; Streptophyta; Magnoliopsida; Brassicales; Caricaceae
Description: long non-coding RNA (CPAP_LNC012306)
Source: RNAcentral
UAUGAUUCCUUCAAUUAAUUUAAUAAAUUCACAAUUGAGAUUUUAUCGUAAUGGACCAAAACAAAGUUAACAUAAGCAACAGAUGUUAGAGACUUGGUAACAGAACCUUCCAUUUCUCUCUCUGAGGGUUUAAGGGCAGGCACUGCUAGGUCUUCACGAGCUUGGAAACAGUGAAGCCAUCAAAAAGAGUCAACAUCAAACAGUUGGUUUAGCAUCUCAUCAAUAAGCAAAUAGAACUGUUCAGCUACAGAUUCACAGAGCCAAAUCCAGAAAAUCAAGUUUGUGUGUUUGUACAGCAUAAAAAUUUGAAUGAAACAACUUGAAGUUUCCCUACAAUUGUUUCCGUUUGUCGGUAUUAUAUGUUAUCAGAAUACAGAACAAGCAUCAACCCAAUAAUUGCUUAUAAUCUUCAUGAUUCAAUCAAUCCAUGUUAUGUCUUUGCUAUGUAUUUAGUGCCGGUGCGCUCAUAUACAUCUAACAUCCCUCCCUCCUUUUGUUAAUUAAUAAAAAUUGACAAGAUAUAGAAAAGUUAAAAGAAGUAUGUAUUAAUCAGAGUUAGCCAACCAAAUGUCGGAUUUACAUUUACAGAGAGAUAAUCAGACACAAUCUUGAAUUGACGAAAGAUGUCUUUGCAAGUGACAAAUAACUCAGAACUCUUUUGAGUGGAUGACAGAUAGAGGAAAACAGGAAACACUGUUUAAAAGAAGGAGAAUAUUAUGCGGGGGUGCAUGCAUGUUUAUGUCAGUGAAAUCCUUAGGUAACUGUGCAUUAGCAAUUUCUAUAGUUUAGAUUCGCCCCAAUUAGCCACUGUUGUAAGUAGAUAUUCAUAGAGGUGAUAACAAUAUAUCAAUUCUCCCGUCCCAAAGGAAUUUCACUAGGGCAUCGGAGGAGGAGCAAGAAACCCUGAUGAAGGGAGUAUUAGUAACACCACACUUUGCUCAUCAGAAUUGAUGUAACCAAAAAUAAUAGUCAAUUCAUAAUAAGCCAAAUUAGCAACAUGUAUUGUCGAGUGCUAUUACACUACCUCCAGAAGGCUUAAAAAGGGAAAGGCUUUUCAAACUGCUUUGGAAAAGCUACUUAAGUAUAGAAGGUAAUUUAACCCAUAGAAGCAACAUGCUAAAUCUGACGCAAGGGAAUAUAAAUAACAACAGUGAAAAUAAGGAAAAAAAUUAAAAACUUUUGUCCAGUAAACAACCAGAGAAGCUUACUUUAAUCCACGAAGAAAAAACGAGUCUGAAAUAGACAUGAGAAUGCUAAUUAUGCAUAUCAAGACUUAUACAACUGGACUAUGCAAGAAAUGGGGGAAAAUAUCUAUUAGGUCCACGGAUUGACACAUAUUCAACUUCUAUGAUUAAACAUAUCAAAAUUCUCUAGGCAUUUAGCUCACUGUUUUUACCUUCAUUUCUCUCUUGCUUACUUUGCCUCUCCUUCUCGGCUGCCUGGACUCGAACAACAGUAAACAUAAGAAUAGCAUAAGCUAUUUGUAAUAGGAAAAAUGCUCAGAGUAAAUUUUAAUUGUACUUCAAAACAGGAAGAUACGAAAAUCCUUCUCAGAAUUUAACAGUAC